ACUAUCGUUGCACCAGUGCAUCAUGUAAUGUGAAGAAACGAGUGGAGAGGUGUUUCAAGGAUCCGGCCAUUGUCGUAACCACCUACGAAGGUCAACACACCCACCCAAGCCCAAUCAUGCCUCGAGCAAACCCAUCCUCCAUUGCCACCACCUUUGCUGGCCCGAGGCUUCAAACGACGCCGUUUCAACACCUACACCUCCACCACCACCAGCAACAGCAACAUCCCUCUUUCAACGAUGUUCCACUCUUGAAUUAUGGCCAUGGCAGCAGCUUUGGGAGCGCCGCAAGGUCUGUUCAAGAGAGGCGUUCUUGCGCACCAACUUCUGCUUUGCAUAGAGACCAUGGCCUUCUUCAAG
This 357-nucleotide long non-coding RNA is filed under the name Vitis vinifera (wine grape). RNAcentral describes it as "long non-coding RNA (VVIN_LNC002070)". The record is from RNAcentral. Lineage: Eukaryota; Viridiplantae; Streptophyta; Magnoliopsida; Vitales; Vitaceae.